CUAAUUUUGACGUUUCUUAACUUUUAGGUUAAUAUCUAAAGUUUAGCUUAAUUAAAAAUUUACUUUGAGUGUAUUGUAAGUGUUUUCCUGGUAACACGUGCUGAUAAACCGCUUAUUAGUCAUCGAUUUGGCACAAUUUAUAAUAUAUAUAUAGUUAAGGAGUUGUAGUUUCAGCCCAUUUUUGUUGUGGAUUAUUUGCUCAAAAUGUUUAAAUCGCUGUGGAGUUUCAUUGAAUUUUGGUAUUUAAGAUAUUUACUUGUAACAGAACUUUAUAUGGUGGAAAAAUGGGAACGUAUAAUGAUCCAUGUUAUAUUUGUGGUGAUGUUUUCAUUAAUAUCUAUAUUUAAUGUAACCGUAGUAGUAGAAGGUGUUAAAUAUCUUAAAACAAUAUAAUAUAGGAUAAUACCCAGCUUUUCCAUAAAUUUCAUGUAUUCAUUAAGAUUUCUUAUAGAUAUCUAUAGUAACUUUAAGUAUUUUUUAUUGUUGUAGUUUUAAUAAUAAAAAAAUCUUUAAUUUUAAACCUAUUUCUAUUCUAAAAUCUUCUAUAUUUUAGCAUAAAUCUAAAGCCAAAUAAAAAUGUAUCAAAGUAAAUACAAUAGAAAGAUUCUGAAUACAAUAAAUUGAUUAAAUUUCUCUGUAUACAUAUUUCUUAAGUUUCAUUGCAUCUUUUAGAUUUAUUAUCUGGAUAACUACCAAAAUUUGGGUUGGGAAUGAUGAUUGAAAAGUUUGCUAAAAAUAAUAAGACACAAAGCAAAAUGAUUUAAUAUUAAUAUAAGAUUUAAAUUUGCAAAAUCUCUUUGGAACUUAAUUAUAACCUAUAAGAGAAAUCAAUUAUUACAUAUAAAUUAUAAUGGUUAAUUUGUUAUUAAAGUUGUUACUAAAGUAUCGAUUAUAAAAUACAAUAAGUAUAUUUAACAGAGGUAUUGAUUUCAAAUGAAAAUAUCUACAGGAAUAUACAACCUUGACUUUGUAUUACUCAUACCGUACAAAUAGUAUAAUUUUCCACUCGAAUACCGCAAAUAUCAACAGUUGUUAAAGUGAAAUAGAGUAGAUAACCAAUGUGUUGAUGCUUAAAUUAAAUAUCAGUAAAGAGUCUAACAACUGGUUUAUUAUUUAUUAUGUUUCUCUGUUCAAAAAGAGAAAAAUAAGAGAAGAUAUUCAAGCAAAAAAACCGUACACGUUUCUUCCACGUUAAAAGUAUCUACGAUUUCAGUGAAACGGCUUUAAUACUAGAUAAAUCAGAUUGUAAGUCAGUUAAGAUUACAAAUUUGUGAAUUUGGUAACAUCUUUAGUUUAUUCAUAACAGUAUUAAAAUGGACGUAAUAAAUACAUUAACAGCAGAAUUCCACAAAAUCCAAACCACCAACGUACAACAAUCCCACAAGAAUUUCAAACUUUUUUUAUCGACGCUUCCAGAAAAGCUAAAAACCAACGAAAAUGAAUUUAUUUCCAAUUUAGUACCACAAACCAAGCUAGAACAUUUAUUUAAAAUCGAUAUUUUAUUACAUUUAAAGAGACACAAUGAUGUUUUAGAUGUUUUAAAAAAUGGUAAUAAUCGUUAUGUUGGAAGGAUUUUGAAAGACUUUGAUUUUCUUGCUGAUCUUGUACCAAAGUUAAGUGUUAAAAUGGUAAUGGAUGAUAUUUUCCCAGAAAUAUCUUAUAUCACCAAACUAAAAAUUCUUAACAGAAUUUCUAAAACUGUUAAAAAUGAAGAACUUUUAGAUGAGUAUUUUGAAGAAAUUGAGUGUAAAUAUGGCAUUGAAAUGGCGUUCGUUUUAUUGCCAGGUUGUUCUAAGAAGUUAAUAAGGUUUAAGGUUGAAAAAUAUGUUUGGAAAUUACCAAGUAGACACGUUGUUGAGAUUUAUAAAAAAGAUCAUACAUUUCCAUUAUUUUAUUUCGAUUUAUUAAAAAAAAUUGAUGAAAAUUUUAAAUUUA
This is a non-coding RNA of Onthophagus taurus, 1935 nucleotides long. The record is from RefSeq and is a predicted model, not a curated record. NCBI's taxonomy places the organism in Eukaryota, Metazoa, Arthropoda, Insecta, Coleoptera, Scarabaeidae.